CCAGCGACGCCGCGUGUGUGAAGAAGGCCUGCGGGUUGUAAAGCACUUUUAGUGGGGAUGAAAAGCCUGACGCUAACACCGUCGGGUCUUGACCUAACCCACAGAAAAAGCACCGGCUAACUCUGUGCCAGCAGCCGCGGUAAUACAGAGGGUGCGAGCGUUAAUCGGAAUUACUGGGCGUAAAGCGUGCGUAGACGGUCAUACAAGUCGGGUGUGAAAGCCCCGGGCUCAACCUGGGAAUUGCAUUCGAGACUGUAUGGCUAGGGUGCGGAAGAGGGAAGCGGAAUUUCCGGUGUAGCGGUGAAAUGCGUAGAUAUCGGAAGGAACACCAGUGGCGAAAGCGGCUUCCUGGUCCGACACCGACGUUCAGGCACGAAAGCGUGGGGAGCAAACAGGAUUAGAUACCCUGGUAGUCCACGCCAUAAACGAUGAGAACUAGACGUUGGAA
This 448-nucleotide ribosomal RNA is filed under the name uncultured bacterium. RNAcentral's name for it is "bacterial SSU rRNA". It matches the Rfam family "Bacterial small subunit ribosomal RNA", at positions 388 to 828 of the family's 1533-position model. The record is from RNAcentral.